GAGGAAGGCUCUUGGGUUGUAAACCUCUUUUCUCAGGGAAGAAGCUCUGACGGUACCUGAGGAAUCAGCCUCGGCUAACUCCGUGCCAGCAGCCGCGGUAAUACGGAGGAGGCAAGCGUUAUCCGGAAUUAUUGGGCGUAAAGCGUCCGCAGGUGGCGAUUCAAGUCUGCUGUCAAAGCACGGGGCUUAACUCCGUAAAGGCAGUGGAAACUGAAUAGCUAGAGUGCCGUAGGGGUAGAGGGAAUUCCCGGUGUAGCGGUGAAAUGCGUAGAGAUCGGGAAGAACAUCGGUGGCGAAAGCGCUCUACUGGACGGCAACUGA
Molecule: ribosomal RNA, 321 nt
Filed under: uncultured Chroococcales cyanobacterium
Lineage: Bacteria; Bacillati; Cyanobacteriota; Cyanophyceae; Chroococcales
Description: bacterial SSU rRNA
Rfam family: Bacterial small subunit ribosomal RNA
Source: RNAcentral